This 517-nucleotide ribosomal RNA is filed under the name uncultured Lachnospiraceae bacterium. RNAcentral describes it as "partial 16S ribosomal RNA". The record is from RNAcentral. Lineage: Bacteria; Bacillati; Bacillota; Clostridia; Lachnospirales; Lachnospiraceae.
CACAUAGUUAGCCGGGGCUUCUUACUCAGGUACCGUCAUCUUCUUCCCUGCUGAUAGAGCUUUACAUACCGAAAUACUUCUUCACUCACGCGGCGUUGCUGCAUCAGGGUUUCCCCCAUUGUGCAAUAUUCCCCACUGCUGCCUCCCGUAGGAGUUUGGGCCGUGUCUCAGUCCCAAUGUGGCCGGUCACCCUCUCAGGUCGGCUACUGAUCGUCGCCUUGGGUCGGGCCCGUUACCCCUCCAACUAGCUAAUCAGACGCGGGUCCAUCUCAUACCACCGGAGUUUUUCACACAAGAACAUGCAUCCUCGUGCGCUUAUGCGGUAUUAGCAGUCAUUUCUAACUGUUACUCCCCCUGUAUGAGGCUACGGUUACCCACGUCGUUACCUUCCACCCGUUCCGCCUACCUCACGUCAAUCUAACGCUUCCACUACCCGUAAAACCUUCCGACUAAAUCCGUCUUCGUUCCGUACUUGCAUGUGUUAAGCACGCCGCCGUACGCGUUCUACUCCGUGACG